Molecule: long non-coding RNA, 302 nt
Organism: Chelonia mydas (Green sea turtle)
Lineage: Eukaryota; Metazoa; Chordata; Testudines; Cheloniidae
Exons: 3
Source: RefSeq, a predicted model, not a curated record
AACAUCUACAAUUUGGUGGUAAAGGGUUUCUGGAACCUACAUCUCCUCUCGGUCUUGCCAAAGGAUCUCACCCAGUGAAUUAUGUUGUUUUCAGGCUGUGGCAGGCAAACACAAAGGAAGAAGCCAAAAGACCAAGGAGGAGUAAGUAGGUUGAAUCUGAGCUGCUGAUGUCUGAAUGAUUUUGUAUUUGAGAACAGAGCAUAUAUUGAGAGCGCUUCCCAGGAUUUACUCAUCUGUAGCUUUGCAAAGACGGAUGCCUCUGACAUUGGUCUCAGGGCCGGGCUGUCCCAAGAAAUGGAGGA